Molecule: ribosomal RNA, 253 nt
Filed under: uncultured bacterium
Lineage: Bacteria
Description: partial 16S ribosomal RNA
Rfam family: Bacterial small subunit ribosomal RNA
Source: RNAcentral
UACGUAGGGUGCAAGCGUUGUCCGGAAUUAUUGGGCGUAAAGAGCUCGUAGGCGGUUUGUUGCGUCGGCUGUGAAAUCCCGAGGCUCAACCUCGGGUCUGCAGUCGAUACGAGCAAACUAGAGUGUUGCAGGGGAGACUGGAAUUCAUGGUGUAGCGGUGAAAUGCGCAGAUAUCAGGAGGAACACCGGUGGCGAAGGCGGGUCUCUGGGCAACAACUGACGCUGAGGAGCGAAAGCGUGGGGAGCGAACAGG